This 2062-nucleotide long non-coding RNA is filed under the name Anser brachyrhynchus (Pink-footed goose). RNAcentral describes it as "lncRNA (ENSABRG00000013289.1)". Lineage: Eukaryota; Metazoa; Chordata; Aves; Anseriformes; Anatidae. The record is from RNAcentral.
AUGCACCUUUCCGGUUGCCACGGCAACCCGGGGAGAAGUUUUUAAAAUUCAGGCAAGGUAAUUUCUCCUCACCGCUGCGAUUUCGUUAUCGCUCGGCUUGCCGCUCCCGGGGGACGCGGCGUCCUGCCUCGCUCCUCCGCCGGCAAGGUGGGAUCUCAGAGAUAACGAGCGCCGGCAGCAGCCGAGCUGGGGAUGGCGGGGGCUGAGAGGGGGGAGCAGGGUGCCCCGGUGCUGGGCCCGGCUUCGGCAACGUGUGCUGGUACCUAACGAGCAGCGGGGGGGCUGCUCGCGCACCCCGGGCUCGAGGGGAGCUGGGGGGGGGCAGAAGGACGAGGGGACGCGGGCAGAUGUGGACGGACGGGUGCCUGGUGGGCGGAGGGACGAGGAGAGUAUGGGGUGGUGGGCCCCGUGUGACCCCUGGGGGUCGCCUCGGCAGGAGGUUGGGUUGCUGCCCCCUCCUUUCUCCCCACAGAGAGCCCGCGGCGUGCCUUCGUCCCCGGGGCCCCGGGGGACGCUCUGCAGUUCCCCCUCCUGCUCUCCUGGACCCCACGGCCAGGAGCCAGAGGACCCAGCCCACUGGGGGUCCUGGAGGUGGUGGGCAGAGGGCCCGUGCACCGCCGAUGUCCCCAGGAGCAGCUCUGCCACCGCCACCCCGCUGUCCAGGAGAAAUGACAAUGACAACGACAGUGCUCACCGGGAGAUGUUAUUCCAGCCAAAUUCGCACAGCGGGGCCCCGACCUCCAUCCUGCCCCCCGACAAAGGCCGCUCCUGGGCCUCCUGGGACUGGCAGCUCCGGGCGAGGGCUGCAGCGUGCGUGGGGGAUGCGCCGCCAGCCGCCCCCCUGGGAUCCCGGCUGUCACCACCCCCCGCGGGGGCUGCUGUCAGCCUGGGGGGACAGGCAGGCAGCCUCUCGCUGCCGGUACCUGCUGCAGCGCUUUCCUUAAUGAUGAGUUCGGCUCGCCUGUCCCCCCAAUUAACUCCGCCGCUCCAGCUCGUCAGGCUGCACUCCCGGAGCAGCGCCUCGGCGAAGGGCUGCGCACGCCGCUCAGCACAGCCGCACGGGCACAGCAGCGGGCCCGGCGUUUUCCCCCGCAGCCACCGCCGGUCGUUACGGAGCCGACGGGCGUCUGGAAGUUUGGAGGGAACGCGUCCGGGGCGCGUGGCGCUGGCAGCAGGGUGCAGGGCGCUGCUCCUGCGCCCGUCGCUGCCCCGGGGCCGGCAGGCAGCGCGGCCACGUCGCGCACAUCGAGCUGCCCGCCUGCCUCCUGGCCUCCGUCCGGGAGGGCAGCAGGUGACGGGAAAGCGAGACCCGGCCUGGACGGAGAUGAAAGGCGGCCUCGCAGCUGCGGACACCCGACGCCACCUGCCCCGGCGCGCGGGCGGGCCGGCAGCCGGGAUGUCCUUGUCCCCACGCGCUGCGCCCCGGCGGUGCCGUGCCAGCAGCUCCCUGCCCGCCGGGGAGCCCCCUGCUCCCCACGCCGCGGCGCAGAGCCCCCGGGGCCUCCUUCCAGAGAGAGGACAGGGCCCGGCUGUCCGUCCCAGCCGCCCGCCCGCCCCAUGCCAGCAGAUCCCCCGCACCCUCACCCACCCGAGGGUGCUCACCCCCCACAGCGGGCUCACUCGCAUGCCGUGCCACCGACCCUCCCCAGUCCCUAAGACCACCAGCCCAGGGAAUUUGCUUGUUUUUCCCAGCCUGUUGUCCCUCCCAGGUCGUGCCCACCCAUCUCUUGUGCUGCCAGCGUGGUACCCAGCCAGCUGUCCGUCCGUCCGUCCGCCCCCAGCAGUGCACACCCCCCUGCCUCCCUCCAGCCAAGCCAGAGGACGCCUGGGGCACGCUUGGGGGGCAGAGGGGCUCUGGGACACGGCCACUGGCCCUGCUGUCACCUGGAAGGGGUGACAAAACUUGUGCAAGCAUCCCUGCCCAGUGCCUCCUGGGGCCCCCACACGUUUUUCAAGGCUGGAAGGGGGGAAAUAGCUGCCUGUCACCAACCGCCCUGUCGCCUCACCACCUCCCUCCCAGGGCGCCAAUAAAUACCCUGCCCCACACCUGCGUGGUUAUUAG